AUUGGAGGGCAGUCUGGUGCCAGCAGCCGCGGUAAUUCCAGCUCCAAUAGCGUAUAUUUAAGUUGUUGCAGUUAAAAAGCUCGUAGUUGGACUUUGGGUUGGGUCGGCCGGUCCGCCUCUGGUGUGCACCGGUUGUCUCGUCCCUUCUGCCGGCGAUGCGCUCCUGGUCUUAACUGGCCGGGUCGUGCCUCCGGCGCUGUUACUUUGAAGAAAUUAGAGUGCUCAAAGCAAGCCUACUGUCACGGCCCGCUAGUUUUGACCCAACCCCUUGCCGAUUUCCCUUGGGUUGGGGAGGUUACAAAGAGUCCAAGUUGUAGCCCAAGUAGGGUUAGGCCCAAGUUGGCCCAAUUGUAUAGUGGUAGGUAGAGCUAUUUUUGGUAGGUAGGGUAGGUGGUGGUAGGUAGAGACAAUCAAGGGAUUGCUCCACUCCCAUCCGUUAGAUCAUAU
RNAcentral lists this non-coding RNA (447 nucleotides) under Erythranthe guttata (spotted monkey flower). RNAcentral describes it as "Mimulus guttatus (spotted monkey flower) Eukaryotic small subunit ribosomal RNA". It matches the Rfam family "Eukaryotic small subunit ribosomal RNA", at positions 547 to 956 of the family's 1831-position model. The record is from Rfam by way of RNAcentral. Lineage: Eukaryota; Viridiplantae; Streptophyta; Magnoliopsida; Lamiales; Phrymaceae.